Molecule: long non-coding RNA, 1394 nt
Organism: Daphnia magna
Lineage: Eukaryota; Metazoa; Arthropoda; Branchiopoda; Diplostraca; Daphniidae
Exons: 2
Source: RefSeq, a predicted model, not a curated record
UUUCUUCACUAGUGCCAGGCUCUUGUGACAUGAACUGAUUACAUGGAAAGGCCAAAAUUUUCAAACCCUGAAAUAAGAAUAGCUGUGACAUAAUUGACAUGUGAGGAAUAAUUAAGCAUCCUAACAACACAGAAGCCUACAGUAUGGAAACAACACCUGAACUAGUAGAUUAUCAAUAGCAACAACCAUUAUACGUAGGAAUGAGACAAAAUCAGUAGGCUACCAUUUUCCAAAGACAUAUCACAAUGGACAAAUAGAAAACCCACUAACAUUCAAUAUCAUCAAAUAAAUUUCAAUACUCUUUGAAAGACAAAACUCACUUUUGAUUCAAAUCUGUCAUACAAGUCCACAAGUUGUGUGUAGUUCACUGUGAAUUGAGAAAAAAACAAGAAAAUCAUUGUUGGUCAUUGCACACACAUACAAAAAUAUCUAGAAUAUUACCAUGGGUAUACCCACACUUUGAGGCAACAUUUACAAUAAUACAGACAUGAUUCCUUAAUAGAAAAGUGUACUGUGUUAGAUUGAAAACAGCAAGAUAGCUUUUUGUUUUUACCUGUAUUUCUCCAGUGACACUUGAUUCCCAUCUAUGUCUAACACUGUAAAGUCGUAAAUCGAUGUUGCAGAUUUAUAGUCGGCAUUGCCGAUAUCUUCAGCUGAAGUCUUUUAAUAACCAGAAGUUUUAUUGAAUCUAUAACUAUAAGUACAGUUCGGAAAUUCUUAUUACCAUUCUGUCAAGGGCAAGGAGGUCGGACGACGAAGUCCACGCACGACUACCACCGUAAAUAAAAGUGGUUGAACUGACGUUACCUAUUAAAGACUGUAGCUUACAGUAUGUCGGGACUGCACCUGGCCCGUUCCUAUAUAUACGGAACACUGUCUUGAUUUUGAUGCCGCUUCCGCGUUUAUCUUAGACGAAAAAAAAAAAAAAACUCAUUGCAAAUUGUCAAAAUGAAGGCGGCAAUCAUUUAAAAUCUUCAUAUAUACUAGCUGGUUGAUGGAAAAAAAUUCUAUUUACGGUUUUUAAUGUGAUAUCCUGAGAUCCCUUACAUCCAAAUGAAGAUUUUGGUUGUCACGCUCAUUUUAACCUUCUUUCGUUUAGUUACAACAGCACGUUUAUAAUUCGACACUGUUUCAUUUUCUUUCGAAAUAAGGCGACAAUACAAUUUCUUACAAAUUCAUUGUUAAUCAUUAGUGAAAUAGUAGCAUCCUGACUUCUCCAUGCCAAUAAGGCUUUUUAGAGAGUCUGUCAUUUUUAUUCCCUCUGAUCACAAAUAGAACUCGAUUGGAAAUGAAUGGCGCUUCUAGAGCAAAAAAGGCAUACAAGCUAAAAUUUUUCUUACAACUUAGCCACUCACUACUGGUUCAGGUAUUUCAGUAAAUCCUUUUCCAUGUCC